RNAcentral lists this ribosomal RNA (433 nucleotides) under uncultured bacterium. RNAcentral's name for it is "partial 16S ribosomal RNA". It matches the Rfam family "Bacterial small subunit ribosomal RNA", at positions 29 to 507 of the family's 1533-position model. The record is from RNAcentral.
AACGAACGCUGGCGGCAGGCCUAACACAUGCAAGUCGAGCGCGCCCAUCGGGGUGAGCGGCGGACGGGUGUGUCACGUGUGGGAACGUUCCCUUUUAUACGGAAUACCCCCGGGACACGGAGAGUAAUACCGGAUAAGCUCUGUUGGGGCAAGAUUGAUCGGAAGAGGUUCGGCCCGCGUUGGUUUAGGUUGUUGGUGGGGUAAUGGCCUACCACGGAGUCGCUCCAUAGCUGGUUACAGAGGCAGGGCAGCCACUCUGGGACGAGGACACGGCCCGGAAUCCUACGGGAGGCGGCAGAGGGGGAUCUUAGAAAACGGCGGCAGCCAUGAAGGAGCCAUGCCGCGUAAGUGAUGAAGGCCUUAGAGAAGUAAAGCUCUUUAAGCUGGGAAGAUAAUGACGGUACCAGCAGAAGAAGCCCCGGCUAACUCCGUG